This 484-nucleotide ribosomal RNA is filed under the name uncultured bacterium. RNAcentral describes it as "partial 16S ribosomal RNA". It matches the Rfam family "Bacterial small subunit ribosomal RNA", at positions 30 to 507 of the family's 1533-position model. The record is from RNAcentral.
AUUGAACGCUGGCGGCAGGCCUAACACAUGCAAGUCGAGCGGAUGAAGGGAGCUUGCUCCUGGAUUCAGCGGCGGACGGGUGAGUAAUGCCUAGGAAUCUGCCUGGUAGUGGGGGAUAACGUCCGGAAACGGGCGCUAAUACCGCAUACGUCCUGAGGGAGAAAGUGGGGGAUCUUCGGACCUCACGCUAUCAGAUGAGCCUAGGUCGGAUUAGCUAGUUGGUGGGGUAAAGGCCUACCAAGGCGACGAUCCGUAACUGGUCUGAGAGGAUGAUCAGUCACACGGGAAGUGAGACACGGUCCAGACUCCUACGGGAGGCAGCGGUGGGGAAUAUUGGGCAAUGGGCGAAAGCCUGAUCCAGCCAUGCCGCGUGUGUGAAGAAGGUCUUCGGAUUGUAAAGCACUUUAAGUUGGGAGGAAGGGCAGUAAGUUAAUACCUGGCUGUUUUGACGUUACCGACAGAAUAAGCACCGGCUAACUUCGUG